AUCAAAACUCAAUGUAUAAAUAAAAAGAGAUGAUUUCAGUUAUUGAUGCUCUGAUAUCAAAUGACUCAAAAUCGAGGUCAUCAACACAAGCGAUCAGAACGAGGUUUUUGGAAACAAUCUUGAUAAUUUCUUUCUUAUUCGCCACAAUUCUCUUAGUCAUUCCUUACCAAUACGAAAAUGGCAACCCUGUUCCAACGGUGAUAUUCAAUGGCAUCCCCGCCUCGGGGUUUCAUGCAUUCGUUGUAUCGCUCGUAUAUGCGUUCACCGGCGCCCUCACCGCUUUGUUAAUUCAUGACACUGCCGCCGGCUCAUUUCUUGCCAGAUUUUGUGAGCUUAUUUCAAUCCUUUCUAUGACAUCGGCUCUGUCUUUGUUGGUUUGGUCCCUCUUCACUUUCAGUUUUUCAAAACCAUGUAUGGGAUAAGGAAGAAUUUAAGAGGUCCAACAAUGACUCCACAAAUACUAUUUUCCAAGUUCAAAGUCCAAGGAAGAACGGUUCGAAUAUUAUUAGCGUGAAGAUUAUCAUGUUUCAUCAUUUUGAAUGUAGGAAUUAAUCCAAAAACUAUAAUUUUCAAUUAUCAUUAGUAUAAAUAUUAUCAUGUCGUUCCAAUUUCAUUGUCCAGAAGCAGUCUAAACAUUAUUGUCCAAGUCAGUGGAUCCGAAAUUGUAUGAAUAUUAUCAUGUUUUCUGGUUUUAGUCCAGAAGCUAUCCAAAUAUUAUUGAUGAGUUCAAAGGAUUAAGAAA
Long non-coding RNA from Camellia sinensis, 742 nucleotides. RefSeq lists it as uncharacterized. Lineage: Eukaryota; Viridiplantae; Streptophyta; Magnoliopsida; Ericales; Theaceae. The record is from RefSeq and is a predicted model, not a curated record.